GGGGCUAUAGUUAACAAUAACAUUUGGGUUGCAUUCAAAAAGUACUGCAGCAUGCAGUUAGCCUCA
Molecule: transfer RNA, 66 nt
Filed under: Heterotermes cardini
Lineage: Eukaryota; Metazoa; Arthropoda; Insecta; Blattodea; Rhinotermitidae
Also listed under: 1 other name
Description: tRNA-Ala
Source: RNAcentral